ACUGCUCAGGACGAACGCUGGCGGCGUGCUUAACACAUGCAAGUCGAACGAUGAUGCCCAGCUUGCUGGGUGGAUUAGUGGCGAACGGGUGAGUAACACGUGAGUAACCUGCCCCUGACUCUGGGAUAAGCGUUGGAAACGACGUCUAAUACUGGAUAUGAUCACUGGCCGCAUGGUCUGGUGGUGGAAAGAUUUUUUGGUUGGGGAUGGACUCGCGGCCUAUCAGCUUGUUGGUGAGGUAAUGGCUCACCAAGGCGACGACGGGUAGCCGGCCUGAGAGGGUGACCGGCCACACUGGGACUGAGACACGGCCCAGACUCCUACGGGAGGCAGCAGUGGGGAAUAUUGCACAAUGGGCGAAAGCCUGAUGCAGCAACGCCGCGUGAGGGAUGACGGCCUUCGGGUUGUAAACCUCUUUUAGUAGGGAAGAAGCGAAAGUGACGGUACCUGCAGAAAAAGCACCGGCUAACUACGUGCCAGCAGCCGCGGUAAUACGUAGGGUGCAAGCGUUGUCCGGAAUUAUUGGGCGUAAAGAGCUCGUAGGCGGUUUGUCGCGUCUGCUGUGAAAUCCCGAGGCUCAACCUCGGGCUUGCAGUGGGUACGGGCAGACUAGAGUGCGGUAGGGGAGAUUGGAAUUCCUGGUGUAGCGGUGGAAUGCGCAGAUAUCAGGAGGAACACCGAUGGCGAAGGCAGAUCUCUGGGCCGUAACUGACGAUGAGGAGCGAAAGCGUGGGGAGCGAAC
RNAcentral lists this ribosomal RNA (742 nucleotides) under uncultured Bacteroidota bacterium. RNAcentral describes it as "bacterial SSU rRNA". It matches the Rfam family "Bacterial small subunit ribosomal RNA", at positions 19 to 773 of the family's 1533-position model. The record is from RNAcentral. Lineage: Bacteria; Pseudomonadati; Bacteroidota.